Molecule: long non-coding RNA, 6675 nt
Filed under: Homo sapiens (human)
Lineage: Eukaryota; Metazoa; Chordata; Mammalia; Primates; Hominidae
Description: HSALNT0365625
Source: RNAcentral
GUAAAUUUAAAUGCAGUCCAGAGUAGUGAAGGCCGUUUGUAAGGUCUGCUGAGCUAAUGGAUUCAUAAUGACUUUUAAAGCUUCACUCGGUACAUCCUAUGUGCCAGACACUGCGAUAGGUUCUGGAGAUAACAACAGUGUCCAAGAAACAACAGUGUCCAAGAAACAGGACUUUCCCUCAAAGAGCUUACUGGGGAAGCCAGCAAGACCAGCAGACAAACACAGCUGCACUGGGGGAGAGCCUGCUGAAGCUGCUUGAAUCUCAACACUGUCAUACCCGCCAUCUCAUUAUCUACAGCCACAUCUAAAACCCACAUGAAAUACCAAGUCACACGCGGCUCUGGGAAAGACAUUUUACAGAGACCAUCUUAUGAGUUUUUAAUCUGCCUCCUGAGAACUUACAAUCUAAGAAAUAGAAAACUGAUUCCAGUAAGCAUGCCCAGAAUAUGCUAGCAGCAAGAUUAAAACAUGAAACUAUGAAUGUUAAGGUAUUUAUAACACGCAUCGUUUAAUAGGAUAACAUUUUUCUUAGCAGGAAGGAGCAAAUUUAAGUGCAUUCAGACGUGGGAGAGGGAGAUUGGCCAGCUAAGGAGAUUGGACAGGGUGGAUGCGGAGCUUCUAAGUCCAGAGGAAAACAAAUGAUCAGCUCACGGUAACCCGGGUAGCCGGGCCUUCCACAGCGCUGAUUCCACAGUCUAAAACUUCUAGACCUUCAGGUGGCCGGUUCAAUGUUUCCGUUUAGGUCAUGAGCUCGGCAACAAAUUAAGUAAAGUGUCCCCAGUAAAUGCUGAUAAGCCCCAGGAGGAAACAGGGGCAUCCCCACGCAUACCAAAUGCACUCAUUAGCAUCCCUGCUAUUAUGAAGAAUAGCAAAAUGACCUUGCAAUCAUUAGAAGCUUAAAAUGCUAUGACUUAAGUUUAGAAGGACACAUAUUACAUUGUAAAACCUAAUUAGUGUUACCUUUGCUAAUUGCUGCCUGGCACUGAACUGGAUAAAAUCAAUGCAUGACGGACGUUCCGGGGCAUCAGACAUAACCCCAUCACUAUUUUUAAAAGAAGUAAAAUUAUAGAAGAGCCUUUUGAAAAGGUGUUUUUAACUGAGUUGUUUGACGGAUGUGAGGGAAGCGUGGGCAGUCCAUGCAUUUAUUUGUAUGAAUCCUAAAUGCUGAAAUCUUCUCCCAAGAACACUGUUCUUCUCCUGUACUUCUUUAAUGUAAAUGCGAGAAUAUCAAACAACGGGGGAAAUUACGACAGCGUCAAAAUCCAACCACAGCAUGAAAACAGCUGUGCAGGGAUAUAGUGAAAUCCUAUCCCACAGGCAAUUAGAAUACUCAGCCCUAUCCUAGCCCGAUUCUGCAGCAGGGAUGCCAGGCAGUGCUCUGUGUCUAGGAGCAGGUUCAUCCACUAGAUAAGCUCUACCCGAGCCUCUCUUUUGUCCUCUCUUGAGUAGGUCUCGAGGGCUGUAUGCACUACCGUGGAAAUGUCAAUGAAGCCAGACCCUUCUCCUAUCUGGAGGCUGUCAUGGCCAUAGUGCUGGGGGCAUAGAAGUCAGGUCAUGCUGUAGUUUCUACUUGGCUACUGGAGAUGAAAUCAACCAGAGAAAAGGGGUCAUGCCUCCAGCCACACCUGCCCACCGGAAACACACACACAUAAUACAUACACACGUGCACAUGCACACACACGUGCACAGAGCCAGGCCUUACUUCUAGCUGUGCUCAGCAUUUGUAAUAAGGCUGUGAAAAGAAAAUCAUUUUCUCAGGGUUGCUUUUUUUCUUCCUUAAGGAUAAAUAAUAGCUGAUUUUUCAAGAAAAAAAAGCUGCCACUUGUGCCUCUCCCAGGGCCCCUCCUGAGCAUAUCCUAAAUGGUACAGAUUAAAAUCGAGUCAUAAAACUUACAAACCACAAGCAGUGAGAAAGACAGUUGGGAGUUCUGCUUCCACGGUGGGUCCUGAGGAGGGCUGGGGUCCCCUGGAGUCCCUCAGCUUCUGCUGAGCAGGAGGGUACGAAGGGGAUGAAGAAAACAGAGCAGGCAGGGACCACCCUCAGGCAUGGCAGCCCCUCUUAGCUAUUUUAAAUAUUGUUCCCUGUAAAAUUUCAAUUAGGAAAGGAAAGCUUCUACUGCUAAAAAUUAUUGGAAGAUCACCAAGAAGCCAUUGAGGCCAAGGGAGGCUAAGUGGCCUCUCUCUGGUGCACAGAGACACUGAUAGAGCCAGGAUCAGAAUUCAGGCACCCAGAGUCCAGCAUUCUGUCUCCAGCUGGGCAUGGAAGGAAGGGGAAGGGAGCCAACCAUUCCCAAUGCUGGCAGUGGCCUAGAAUUCCUAGGCUUCCUGAAAGAUAUCAAACCCCAACUUUGUUUUUGCAGAUAUUCAUAUGUAUUCUUGGGCAAGAUUUCUUUCCCUGGGCUAGAUGUCCCAAGGACCACACUCCUCUGUCCCUUUCAAAGAAAAGACAGACCUCACUGGGAAGUCCUGGAUUGUGUCCACUGCUGCUGUCACCGGAGUCUGACCCCAGCCCUGCCCAUCUCCAGGGAUCGCAGAACCUGCCAGCCAACUUCCUUUGAGUCAGCCGGUCAGGGCUGCAUCUUAGAAGCCAAGCUGCUUUGGUGUGAUUUCUGAAGUCUGUGCAUUUGCCUUAACUGUCAGGCCACUGGCUUCCCUGAGACUGGCUUCUGCCGUUUGCUCCCUGACAGUGAUAGUGAUAGCAGGACAGACUAACAGUCGGAGCACCCUGUGCAUCUCUUUCCAAGGAAUCCAUCCAUGGCAGGGACUGUGGAGCGCUCUCAAAGACAGCCACUUUGCAGGCAUUUAGUAGGACAUGGGCUCACCUCUUGCCUCCUCUUCUGCCUUUCCUUCCAGCUCCUUGCCCUUUACAAUAGCUGAAGAUUUUUUUAAGUGGAGCUGCUGAUAAUUAAAAUUAUAUCUUUUUUCCACCAAUGUCUGAAACUCUGGGAAGUCAUUAUCAGAGUCAGACAGUGAUAUUUUGAUAUCCCAGGAUCUUUUUGAUAUAAGGAAUAAAGUUCUAAGGCAUGAGAAGAUAGAGAGCCAUGCUAUUUCCUAAUCACCCUUUAUAAUUUGCAGUAUCUUGGGACGCUUCUCAGAUGUUUCCACUGUGGCUUAUGUACACUUCAAACCCAUGUGCCAUUAAAUGCAGAAGCUAGGUACUGAAUUAAUAAAGGUAGCUUCAAAAGCCCACCUCUUUGGCAGGCUGAAGAUCUAAGGGCAAACUCAAAGAGGGUGAUGGGCCUUUGAAAAUUACUAAGCACAAACAAUAAACCUCAUUAAAUAAAGGCAGCAGAGUGGGCUCAGAAAUGUAAUGAACCAAGCGGGGGACCAACAGCACUGGAAUCAGCCUGGGAAUUAACAUAUCAGGGAGCUGAGGCUCAGGUUGAAAGAAGGGAUUGUGUUUUGGAAAAUCAUGUGACUCCUAUUGAAACAAUGCUGAGGACAGUGGUUGGGAGGAUGCUGGGGCAGCGCUGGGCACAGGCAGGCCGCUGUGGUGCUGGGACUGGGGGACGCUCAUGUUUGCAGUCGUCUACUCUCUCACUCACCCUAGUGGCUUCAGUAGAGUCUACAGAAGGCAGAGUAUUUGGGCAGGGCCUGUAAAGAAAGAGAAAAGCUGAUAGAAGCUGCUUGGCCAUCGAAAUGAACUCCUUUUGCCAGGAUGUGCAGCCACGGGACUCCCACAGCACCCCUCCAGGUGCCUUCUGUCCACAGCCAGGGAGCAGAAAACUGGAGGGAUUUGGUCACCAUUAAAUGGCAAAGUGCUUGAUGAGAUCCUGUUGAAAAUUGAGCAGCAGAUUGGACAAUUAGAGUGCCAGACCAGCACGUGGAGUUUUCAGAAAUAGAUGGGAGUUGCUGGAUAAUAGGUCACAUUAGGCCACCACAGGAGCACGCAGGACUGCUCAGUCUCUGAGCCCCAAGCUCUUCCCUCUAGACUCUGGCAUGGCCAGUACAAGCCCUUUCUCGGCUAUUGUUGCUGGUCAGGGCUGACUGUCUUAGGUAUGAGGCACUCUCGGAAGGCUGCUCAGGAAGAAGACCCUUUCUCUUUCAUGAACCUGCCGGGAGCCAGAAACCAUUCUCCUCCCACUUUCACCCCUCAGCUCUAUCCCCACCUCCCCAAUAAUUUUAUCUUCAUUUUAACUCAAGAAUUUAACUACAGAGAUUGCACUGACCCAUCCCCCUAGAAUGAAAGGACACAAGAUCCUCCACCAGAUAGUUAUUUGUGAUUGUGGCUGGGGGUUUAUUUAAACUAAUUUUAUUAUUCAUGACACUGACAAUUUAUGCAGUGAAUGCAAUUAGAGGCUAUGAUUGGCUGCCACAGCUAAGGGCUAAAAGUGCCACUUCCUUGGAUAUGCAAGGAAGAAAGGCGAAGAAUGUUAGAAAAAUAAUCAGUCACGGAGAUAUUUUUUAUGAAGUGAUUCCCACAAACCUUGAUUUUUAAAAAAAGCUAAUUUAAUUUCCCUAACACCCUGCAAAAGAUAUCUAAUUAUCCACUCUUAAAUUGCUCUCAUAAUUUUUCCAAAGUUCUCUAUUGUUUAUGCCUUUGUGAGUUCUCCUUGUCUACAAGCAAAGAAGCUGUCGUCUCAAUGUGCAGGUUCCAAUAAAACGUACUGAAACUGAUUCUUCCCGAAGCUGUGCAUAGAAGCCCUGAUGUGGCCUGUAAUAUAUUUGUCCAUUUAACCAGGAAAUAUUUGAGAAACAAGACUUGAGUGGUAAUCAUUUAGAGUUCUGGGAGGAGAAGAGGGAAUUGACUUUUUUUCUUCUCCUUUUUUUUUCCAAGAAGAACAAUUUUUAAAAAAUCAUUGGACAUCAAACCAAAACAAAUCAUGGUGCCUCCACACAAUGGGAUAUUCCUCAGCAGUAGAAAGGAAUGGACUACUGAUCACGCAGUAAUGAUGACGAAUGUCAAUGUAAUUAUGCCAAGUGAAAGAAGCCAGCCAAAAGGUGGAGAAGAUGAGUUAAGGACGUUUCAAGCAGAGUUGCCAGCAUGAGUAAGGUCAUGGAAAUUGUGACGGUGACCAUGACCUUUGGAAGUAAUGCAAAGUCCCGUGUGCCUGGAACAUAGAUAGAGAGGGAUGCAGGAGAGAGAGGUGACAGGAAGUGCGACAAUGAGCAUUUGUUGGGAAGAGGCUAUAAAGUUCUUUAACUGCUGUGCUGCUUGAAGAUCUCUCUCCUACCACUUCUGGUGACCUGCUUUGCCUUUCCAAGUUGCCUCAAUUUCCUCUUAACUAUUCCUGGCUUCUCAAGAACUCUCUAUAGCAGAUGAUGAUCCUCCUGUCUCCUGCUCAGCUGCCAAGGAGUUAGGCUCCAGAUUCAGUAUCUGACUCAAUUAAUUUUCAGAAGAGAAAGGCAAAGUGAAUUAAAGUAACAAACCCUACCUGCUGUCACUUAAACGAGGAGAUGUAUUACUUUUUACUACAAUGAUAUUUGCUACAACGGAAGAAUCAUGCACAUCCAUUGAAGUUAGAGUACUGGCAGAGGGGCUCAGCAGGCAGAGCUACUGGGUCUAUCUAAACACUCACCCCUGUUGUCUCUACUGCACAGUCAUUGAAUGUCCAACAAGUCAUAUUCAUGGAGGUGAGGGUCUCUGAACCCAUGGUUCUUGAACCCAGAAACUUCAAAUGUUUCCAGGUUUGGUUGAGUUUUACAGUUUCUGCAGAAGUGGAAGGCUGCCACUCAAAAUGCACCAUUAGUCAGUCCAAGCAUGGGAUCAAAAAUUUUCUUCUAGUCAUUGCAGGCACAAAAGGGGGAUUAAAGCAGCUCUUUGCUGCACUUUAGGCAGUCGAGAAUGUCAAAGAUCGGCUCUUGCCUUUGCAACAUUUGUUGGCAGCACCAGAAAGCAUGAAAAAUAAUGGAAAUAAGAUUACUGCAGACCAGAGGAUUGAGGGACGUAAUUCCUCCCUGCAUUCUGCGUUCUACUGGGAUGCCUCCAGACUAUCUCUUUGUACCAGGAGCCAGAGCGUUUCUCCUGGUCACAAUUGCAUGGGACAGGGUGGACAAACCAUCUCUAUAUUUUGUAACAGCAAAAUGCAAAUAGGUAGGGAUGAUUUGUGUUGCUAGUUCAGUUAACCAAGGAGGUGAAUUUUGUAACAAUAAGGAUAGAAAGAGGAGGUUCAGCAAUGGAUGUAGGCCCAUUCUUCUGCCCUGCUGCACACAGCAAGGUAAAAUUCUAAAAUGUGCCCCAUACUGGAAAGAAUAUCUGCAAUCAUUAAUCUAAAGGAGAAGGAGAUGUAUGCACCUGCUUACACUUUAACAAGUGGUUGGCAAUUUUUAGAUACAUUUGAAAGGAUCCUUCAGUGAAAAGUGUUCUCAGAGAAAGUCAAGAGGGCAGGAGUCAGGGUGAACAAAGUUUCCAGGACUGAACUGCUCAUUUCCUAGAUGUUCCAGAGUACAAGGAAAUGAUCAUGGGAAAAGACCUGACCAAUCAGGGGCCUAUUUAGGGCUUGAUCCCCCCUACACACACACCCAUAUAUACGCACACCCCUACAUACAUGCACCCCAGGAAGGCUCUCAAAUGGGCCUUGUAUCCCUGCAAGCACUAAUUAGUUCAUUCUGAUUCCCUAGCAGUUUUGGCACUUGUCCUUUAAAAUCAGACACCUGUUGUUUCGGUUUUUUAAAGUUGCAUUGGCCGGGCUCAGUGGCUCACAUCUAUAAUCCCAGCACUUAGGGAGGCUGAGG